GAUGAACGCUGACAGAAUGCUUAACACAUGCAAGUCGAUGGGGCAGUUGUGCUUGCACCAUGUUAACCAUGGCGGACGGGUGAGUAACGCGUAAGUAACUUGCCUGCGGGACUGGGAUAACAGCAGGAAACUGCUGAUAAUACCGGAUAAGGUCAUUAAGCUGCAUAGCUUAGUGAUGAAAGGAGACGCCUGCGUAGACACUUGCGUCAUAUUAGCUAGUUGGAGAGGUAACGGCCCACCAAGGCGAUGAUAGGUAGCCGGCCUGAGAGGGUGGACGGCCACAAGGGGACUGGGAUGCGGCCCUUACUCCUACGGGAGGGAGGAGUGGGGAAUAAUGGAGAAUCGGGGCGACCCUGAUGCAGCUAUUCUGUGUGCACGAAGACGGUUUUCGGAUUGUAAAGAGGUUUCAGCAGGGAAGAAGGAAGUGACGGUACCUGCAGAAGAAGCGACGGCUAAAUACGUG
Molecule: ribosomal RNA, 463 nt
Filed under: uncultured bacterium
Lineage: Bacteria
Description: partial 16S ribosomal RNA
Rfam family: Bacterial small subunit ribosomal RNA
Source: RNAcentral